Long non-coding RNA from Bradysia coprophila, 437 nucleotides. The record is from RefSeq and is a predicted model, not a curated record. Lineage: Eukaryota; Metazoa; Arthropoda; Insecta; Diptera; Sciaridae.
UGUAUAUAUUGAGCUACCUUGGAACAGAUAAUAAAUUGAUGUUUUCGAUAACUGGUAAUAAUUUUGAACGUAAAUAAAAAUCGGCACAAUAACAGGAAAAAUAUGCCUAAAUAUCUGUAUACACAAACUGUAACUGGAGAAACUUUCAAUCCAGUCGAUACCAGUAAAACAUAUGGUAUACCCAUACAAAUACACGUGUAAAAACGAACACAUGCAUUGAAUGGAAUGACCUCGGCCAAAAUCGUCAAACAAGACACUUUUUUAUAAGUUCAAUCAAAACAAAGGAAAUUUUGGUGAAAAUGGAAAAAAAAUGAUUUCAAUCAAACUUACGAUAGAAUAAGCACCGCUCCGACUGAAAAGGCUCCCACAAGCAACAAAGACUUUUGUUGCUGCCACAUUAUUACAGUACGCUCGUGUAUUUCCCUGGUGUAUUUAUU